UUGCAGUAUAUUGUUGACAAGAUGGUAGACAGGCUCCCCGCCUGGCAAGCAAGGAUGAUGUUCAGAGCUGGGAGGCCGGAACUCCUCAAAACCACCCUCGCAUCAAUGCGAAACCAUGCUAUGAUGGCAAUAGAUCUCCCAGUCAAAACAAUCGAAGCAGCCAAUAAGAUUUGUAGAGGCUUCCUAUGGAAGGGGCGACGAGAUGUCCACGGGGGACACUGCUUGGUGGCGUGGGAUCAAGUUUGCGCACCCAAGGAAUAUGGUGGUCUGGGUGUGCCCAACUUACGACUGCUCAACACCUCUUCGAGCAUGAUGCCCAUGGUUGGCCAGGACGGAUAUGGAUAUGCCAUGGACAGAAUUCAACAUUCAGGUCUCGUCGGACUCGAUGGCUAUAUACAAGGCAGCCACCAAAUGCACCAUUGGGAACGGUUAAUCCACUCUAUUAUGGACGGACUGGUGGCUGCAAGAGGGACGCAUACAGGAUAUCAUGCCAUACCUGUUCAAAGCUGUAAAGAGAAGUGCGAUCAAGGUGAGAACCGUGGGACAGGCGGUCGCGAGAGGUUGGUGGCAGGACGUGUCACCAAAUAUGGGCGCGGAAGCAAUACAGGAGUUUCUCACUCUGGUGGACCGGAUGCAACUUUUCCAGGUGGAGGUGGCGAUACAGGAUAG
This 669-nucleotide ribosomal RNA is filed under the name Triticum aestivum (bread wheat). RNAcentral's name for it is "partial small subunit ribosomal RNA". The record is from RNAcentral. Lineage: Eukaryota; Viridiplantae; Streptophyta; Magnoliopsida; Poales; Poaceae.